UUUUUUUUUUUUUGUCUUUUUGCCUUUUCUCCGACUACCCCUAGCCUGGGAACUUCCAUAUGCCGAGGGUGCAGCCCUAAAAAGACAAAAGACAAAAAAAAAAAAAAAAAAAAAAGAGAGAGAGAGAGGAGUUCCCAUUGUGUCUCAGUGGUAACAAACCCAACUAGUAUCUAUGAGGACACAGGCUUGAUCUCUGGCCUUGCUCAGUGGGUUAAGGAUUCCGUGUUGCCCUGAUGUAGGUCACAGAUGUGGCUCCAAUCCCACAUUGCUGUGGCCAUGCUGUAGGCCAGCAUCUGCAGCUCCAAUUCGACUCCUAGCCUGGGAACCUUCAUGNGGGGAGGAUGUGAGAGACAGGGAGAGGGAGAGAGAGAAAUGACACAGAGAGACACAAGGAGAGAGAGCGACAAGGAGAGAGAUAUGGAUAAGAGACAGGGAAAGAGGUGGGGAGAGAGAGAGAGAGAUGAGAAAACAGAUCGAGACGAGGAGGGAGACAGAGACAGACACAAGGAAGAGAGCAGCAGAGAUAGAAACAGAGAAACAGGGAGAGAUGGAAGAAACAGACACAGAGAGGGAGAUAGAUGGAGAGAGAUAAAGAGACAGGGAAACAGUAGGAGAGACAGUGUGGGGAGAAUCAGAGAGAGACCUUGGGCCGUUUAAUCCCACUCCCCAGGUCUAGCUUGCAGACCCCUCCCUGCCCCCAACCAGACUGGUUCAGCUCAACAUACAGAUGGGAAAACUGAGGUCCCAAGCUCCCAACCUGCAGUUCCCCGGGUGGUGACACCAGCCAGGGCCUUAAGGAUGGAGAAAUAUUUGUAGGACCCCAAAGACUGAGGAGCAAGGAAUGAAAGGGACGCUGGUUCUUGGUGGGUUUUGGGUUUUGGAACCGGGCUUGUCUUAUAAGAAGAACCCAGCGUCUCAUAUCAGGCCAUGAACAUGACCUUGGGAUUAGCACAGACCUAAUAAGGUCAAGGGGGGAGGGUUGUUGUGGACACGGAGUGAGUGCAACCUGGGUCACUGCGAAUCUGAGGAUGGCCCAGGGACCUCUGUGCCUUCUUGACUGCAGGGUGUGUUUGAAAUUUUCCAUGACACAGAGCAGUUUUAAAUGACCUCUGGGCUCCUGAGGCCGAUCCCAGGCUUGAUGUCCAGGACUGAGGGAAAUCUCAGCUCUUCCUGGAGACUGGCCCAGAGGCGCCAGAGUGGGGGAUGCUGAGAAAACUCAGGGAAUGACCCGAGUCUGAGAUGGAGGCGCCAGACAGCCUCGAGGGGGCGGCUAGGAAUUCUACUCUCCACACCACCCCCCCAUUGAAGGAACAUGCUGUGCACAACCCCACACCUGCCAGAAGAAUGACUCCUUACUCCUGGGGGUGGGUGCUUGCAAAUGACAGAGUGAUCCCCCUCCCACGGGCCAGGCCACCUCCCUGGGAGUUGCUGGGGGAAGCUGGGGCUGGGGAGGGAGGGGCAGCGAGAAGUGAUGACCUGAGGCUUUAAGGGACUUUCGGACCCAUCUCAUUCUGAGUCUGGGGGACAGGGGCCGGCCUUGCUUUGACAUUCCUAAGGAAAUGGGCUGGAAUCAAAAUGACCAGAUCUGGAGAAACACAUCCUUUCACCAGGAAAAAAAAAAAAAAAUCUCUGAAAUUUCCACCUGGAGUGGGAACAGGAGGAUUUAUAGGCCAGGAGCUUAAAAUGAGCUUGACGUGCCUCCCCAAACAAGCAGAGGACUACACCAGCCAUGAGAAAGUGAGUCCAUCUGAACAAAAUGAAACGAAACAAAAUUUAGUAAUAAAGCAGGCAAAAUCAGAAAUACCAGAUAUAGGAAAAAAAAAAAAAAAAAA
RNAcentral lists this long non-coding RNA (1832 nucleotides) under Sus scrofa (pig). Its description in RNAcentral is "lncRNA (ENSSSCG00060030461.1)". The record is from RNAcentral. Lineage: Eukaryota; Metazoa; Chordata; Mammalia; Artiodactyla; Suidae.